UACGGGGGGGGCAAGCGUUGUUCGGAAUUACUGGGCGUAAAGGGCGCGUAGGUGGCCAACUAAGUCAGACGUGAAAUCUCCCGGCUUAACCGGGAGGGUGCGGCGGAAACUGGAGUGCUUGAGGGUGGGAGAGGUAAGCGGAAUUCCUGGUGUAGCGGUGAAAUGCGUAGAUAUCAGGAGGAACACCUGUGGUGUAGACAGCUUACUGGACCACUUCUGACGCUGAGACACGAAAGCGUGGGUAGCAAACAGG
RNAcentral lists this ribosomal RNA (253 nucleotides) under uncultured bacterium. RNAcentral's name for it is "partial 16S ribosomal RNA". It matches the Rfam family "Bacterial small subunit ribosomal RNA", at positions 524 to 776 of the family's 1533-position model. The record is from RNAcentral.